RNAcentral lists this ribosomal RNA (537 nucleotides) under uncultured Acidobacteriota bacterium. Its description in RNAcentral is "bacterial SSU rRNA". It matches the Rfam family "Bacterial small subunit ribosomal RNA", at positions 13 to 529 of the family's 1533-position model. The record is from RNAcentral. Lineage: Bacteria; Pseudomonadati; Acidobacteriota.
UUGAUCCUGGCUCAGAAUCAACGCUGGCGGCGUGCCUAACACAUGCAAGUCGAACGCGAAAGUCCCGCAAGGGAUGAGUAGAGUGGCAAACGGGUGAGUUACGCGUGGGUGACCUGCCUUCGAGUGGGGGAUAACGUUCCGAAAGGGACUCUAAUACCGCAUAACAUCCUGCCUUUUAAGAGGUGGACAUCAAAGCCUGUGACCGUAAGGCCAGGCGCUUGACGAGGGACCCGCGUCUGAUUAGCUAGUUGGUGGGGUAAUGGCUCACCAAGGCAUCGAUCAGUAUCCGGCCUGAGAGGUCGGACGGACACACUGGGACUGAGACACGGCCCAGACUCCUACGGGAGGCUGCAGUGGGGAAUUGUUCGCAAUGGGCGCAAGCCUGACGACGCAACGCCGUGUGGAGGAUGAAGACCUUCGGGUCGUAAACUCCUUUCGAUCGAGACGAAUGGCCUCCGGGUAAAUAGCCUGGAGGAGUGACGGUACCGAGAGAAGAAGCUCCGGCUAACUCCGUGCCAGCAGCCGCGGUAAUAAGGU